AGACUAAGAAUAAGAGUCACGAGGAAACGUGAAAUUGGUACUAGGGUUUUGAAAGGGGUCCAUGAUCGAAUCACGAGGAAGCUCCAAGAAGAAACAAAAAAUGGGAAAUUGGAGGAAAUAGGUGUACAAUUAAAGAAUAAAGUUGAUUCCUUUGGAGCAAAACAAAGUGAUAACAUAAUGGAGGAGGAACAGAGAGUUACGAAAGUGGAAGUGGCGAAGCAGAGAUGCAAGUGCGUUAUUGAGGCCAUUGACAAAUUACCCUCUUCCACCAACAUCACUGCCUCGUGCAGAAGAACACUCCUCAAAUUGGCACGUGCCGAGCUUGCUUUCCUUUCUCGCGCCUCUUCUUCUUUCCCCCUCAGGUCACUCGUGUUCAAUUUUAUACCGUGUAUAUAUAUAUAUUAGUCAUUGAUUUUAUAAAAAUAACUCAUUUAGUUUUUUUUUUGUCCUUAUAAUGUGUAAAGUUUUUACAAAGUUAGGGACUAAAAUUGAGAAACUAAAAUAGGUAUUUACUCAUUUUAAAAUUAUGUUUUGAUUGAUGGAUAUUCAUGUUACCACUCUUUUUUUGUCAAAUAUGGCAAAGAGUGAUCAAAAUUUUAGAAUGUCGUGCUGCAUUAUUUUGAAUGCUAGUCUCACCCUGUAAUGUAUGAAGAAGCAUUGAAAAAUGCUACCAGCACACUGCUCCUUCGGUCUCAUAUCGUAGUACUCUUCGGCUAUUUUAGUUUAUUUAAAAAUAUUUGUCACUUUAGAAAACCAAAAAACUUUUAGUUAAUUUUUUUUCUAAUAAUACUUACAUUUAUUGAUACUUUACCUAAGUACUUAAAUAGAUUCCCAACUGAAUUCUAACUCUUUUUGUAAGGAUCUUUUAGUCAAUUAAAGCAUUUUAUCAUUGUAAUUCAUGUACAAGAACAACCAAGCCUUAUCUCAAUGGGAUCAUAGUAAUUUCUGUAAUUAAUAAAAAAAUUUAAAAAGUGAGCAUUACUUUAAAGACAAAUAAUAUGAGAUGGAGGGAGUACUUUUUAUUGAGUGAAUUUUAUGUGGACCCUAGGAAAAAAAAAAGUUUGACUCGUGCUUUUUUGUAGAAUUAACAUGCAAUUCACCUAAUAAUAAAGAGUACAAUGGAAAUAGUCAGCAAUUGCAUAGAAAAAAGUGUUGCUAGCAUUUCUCAUGAAACAUUUAUCAGUACCUAUUACAUUAUGACUUUACUCUUAUGCAGUGACAUUUAUUUUGUUUAAUUGUACUUAUUUUUUUAAUGUGAAUGGAAAAGAGCUAAGAUGUACACCUUAUUGUGUUUGUAUCAUAUUUUCAUCUUUAAUACCUGACUCUUGGGUAGAUGUAAACUGUUGAUGUUUUCUGCAUUACUUAUCAAUUUAUGAGUAUUUGUAUUUGUGUGAUGAAACAUAACAGUGUCAACAUCGGACACCUUGAAACAGUUGUACAUAUUCUCCAGCAGCCUUUCAUAACUGGAGUUUCUCGAGUUUGCAAGUCAAUUCCACUCUCCAGAGUCUCCCCUUCAGUUAGCAGUGAGGAGAGACACAGUUCUUCUCCCAAAUGCAUCUAUGCGGAUGUGGUGUGUACUCUCUACAGGAAGCCUGUCUGGAUUAUAGUAUCUGACAGAAAUCCAAAGUAUAUCAUGUGGAAUAGAUGCCAUAGAAGUAAGGGUUUAGAAGUUCGAAUUCAAGAAGUACUUGCUGCUGCCCGAUCUAACAUAACCUUAAGACCUUCCUCAGUUAUUCUUUUCUUUGCCAAAGGUCUUACUAACAAUGUUUACAACAAAGUUCGAGAUAAUUUUGGAGCAUAUGAAAUGGAGUUCGAUUUUUCAAUUUUCAGUUCUGACUUGUUGGAAGAAACAGAAGGUGACUGGAUAAAUAUUAUUGCAAGAUCAUAUAAAAAUGCAUGUGUCCUUGAAAUUAACAAUGAUGAUGGCAAGGAUGUUGUUCCAAAUUCUAGAUUCAAUGUUGAAAGUUCAACUUUGGACUCUUCUCAACUUGAGCUUUCUGUAGAUGAAGCUGAAAAUCAACCACAGCCUAUAGAAGAGAAUGUCAGAACAAACUUGGGUGAUACAUUUUGUUCUAUUGUUAUGGGAAUGAAAUUAAUAUCUUUGGAGAAUAAAGAUUCUGAAUCCACUAUGCCUGGGGAUGAUCUGGUAAAUUUGGAUACAACAGCUUUGAUAGCUCUUGUAUCAGGAAUUAGUAAUGGUGGAACAGAGAAACUUUUGGCCACUCCAGAAUGUGAAAUGAAGCAGCGAUUUAAGGGAAACUUUGACUUUGUGAUUGGUCAAAUAAUGUCUGAAAUUCAAAACCCAAUUCAUAUGGAAUUUAGUAGAAUCCUACAUGGAAAGAAUGGCAUAAUUUGUGAGAGUGUUCUUAUGGAAUUUAAGGAGUUGGUAUCAAUGUGUGGAGGGCCCAAUGAGAAACUCAGAGCUGACAAGUUAACAAAUUGCAUCAGUGUUGUUCCUGAUACCCCUUCAGAACGCAUAAUGGGCCUCCCAACAACUAGGAAACUGGCAUUGAAAAACAAGAUUGUCUUUGGCACUGGUGACCAUUGGCAUGCCCCGACUUUAACUGCAAAUAUGGCAUUUGUCAGAGCAGUUUCACAGACAGGGGUGUCCCUUUCCACUAUUGAACAUAGGCCAAGGGCCUUAACUGGUGAUUAGUUACAUUCAUUCAUGAAAACAAGGCUUGAGGCAUUCAUUCUUGCAACGCAAAAUCAGCAACCCCACAGCUCAGAAGGCAUAUUUUCUCAAGAGGUGCACGUGGGCUGAUUUUCACUGCACAUCCCGAAUGGACUACUGUAUAUUCACUGAAACUUGAAACCGCACAAUAAUGAUAAACAGGCUUCCCUUUUACUGAGAAGCGUGUCUUCUGAUCACUAUGCAUUAAACCCUUCCUUUCCAAUCCCAAAACCUGACAAAUAUUAGUUUUUCCUGAUGUGCACAGCCUGCAUGCCAUGCACUCUCCAAUGAAUACUGUUAGUACAUGAUCUCCCUCUUUGAAUUCAGUCACUCCUUGUCCCACACUCUCAACAAUCCUGCAAAACUAUGCUAAAUAUUCAGUAUCUAUUGUGGAAAUUACACCUUUUGCAAGGAUUUAGUUGAAGUGCUGCCAAUGAUGCAAAAAUGUAUCACAUCCCAUUCCGAGCACAAUUCUGUCUAACAUCAGAAGCAUUCUCUGCCCCAUAAUUGAUCAUUAUCACCCUAACUGAAAUUGGCUUUUCAGAAUUUGAUCUAUUUGCCAUGCUAGCCAAAUGGGUAACUCUUAAAAUGCAAAAUGUUUUUAAGAUAUUCAAAGAAAAGCAACUUGAGGAUCAGACUCGAUGUUUAAUCCAAAAAUACAACAUUAAGUGAAGAUUACCCUGAUGCUUCAUGGCCAAAUAUGCGAGGAAAUAUGGCCUGC
RNA transcript from Abrus precatorius (Indian licorice), 3395 nucleotides. RefSeq lists it as uncharacterized. NCBI's taxonomy places the organism in Eukaryota, Viridiplantae, Streptophyta, Magnoliopsida, Fabales, Fabaceae. The transcript is spliced from 4 exons. The record is from RefSeq and is a predicted model, not a curated record.